RNAcentral lists this ribosomal RNA (406 nucleotides) under uncultured bacterium. Its description in RNAcentral is "partial 16S ribosomal RNA". It matches the Rfam family "Bacterial small subunit ribosomal RNA", at positions 30 to 526 of the family's 1533-position model. The record is from RNAcentral.
AUUGAACGCUGGCGGCAGGCCUAACACAUGCAAGUCGAGCGAGCGGCGGACGGGUGAGUAAUGUCUGGGAAACUGCCUGAUGGAGGGGGAUAACAACUGGAAACGGUAUCUAAUACCGCAUACCAUCAGAUGUGCCCAGAUUGGAUUAGCUAGUAGGUGGGGUAAUGGCUCACCUAGGCGACGCUCCCUAGCGGGUCUGAGAGGAUGACCCGCCACACGGGAACUGAGACACGGUCCAGACUCCUACGGGAGGCAGCAGUGGGGAAUAUUGCACAAGGGGCGCAAGCCUGAUGCAGCCAUGCGGCGUGUGUGAAGAAGGCCUUCGGGUUGUAAAGCACUUUCAGCGGGGAGGCGUUACCCGCAGAAGAAGCACCGGCUAACUCCGUGCCAGCAGCCGCGGUAAUAC